RNAcentral lists this non-coding RNA (803 nucleotides) under Macrobrachium sp. The record is from RNAcentral. Lineage: Eukaryota; Metazoa; Arthropoda; Malacostraca; Decapoda; Palaemonidae.
UUAAAGUUUGAUCCUUGCUUAUUCCUCUGUUUUAAAGAUAUUUUACAUGUAAGUAAGUGCGAGAUGAAUUGUAAGCGGCAGGUCCCUUCAGUUAGGUUUCAGUAUUUGUAUUUGGUUUGUGGAGUGGUUCUCUGAUUCAGUAAUCUUAGAUAUUUCAGGUUAAAUUUGUGCCAGCAGCCGCGGUUAGACUGGGAGAAAGAUGGAGGGCUCGAAGUUAGUAGUUACGAGAUGGAAUUUGCAGAGUUUUUCUUUUAAUGAGUUAAGAGGUGAAAUUUAUAGUUCAAUGGGAAUGUUGAGGUUUGCAAAUUUUCUUGGAGGCUUUUAAAGUUUAGAUUUAAACCAGGAUUAGAUACCCUGUUAUACUGGACUUAAAAAUAUUAGUUGCUUGAUUAGUAUCAGUUAUGUUCUUGAAAUUUAAAGGAUUUGGCGGUAUCCAAGUCUAGUUAGAGGAACCUGCCAUUUAAACGAUAUGCCACGAAUUAUCUUACUUUAUCUUGUUUUCAGUAUGUAUACCUCCAUUGUUAGGUGGUGUAUUAAUAUAACCAUUGAAAUUAAUUGUUUUAAGUAUAUUAGGUCAAGGUGCAGCCAAUGGUAAAGAUGUCGGUGGGUUACAGUGUGUUUUAUUUACAGACGGAUCGUUCUUUGAAAAAUGGAACUUAAAGGUGGAUUUAAUUGUAUUUCUAUUUUAAUAUGGUAGGUUGAUAUUAGCUCUAGGAUAUGUACACAUCGCCCGUCGCUCUCAUUCUUUAAAGUGAGAUAAGUCGUAACAUAGUAGUUGUAUUGGAAAAUGCAUCUAGUAAUAU